This 379-nucleotide unclassified non-coding RNA is filed under the name uncultured fungus. RNAcentral describes it as "sequence contains ITS1". The stretch from base 1 to 106 matches the Rfam family "5.8S ribosomal RNA", at positions 50 to 154 of the family's 154-position model. Lineage: Eukaryota; Fungi. The record is from RNAcentral.
GAAAUGCGAUACGUAAUGCGAAUUGCAGAACUCAGUGAAUCAUCAAAUCUUUGAACGCAAAUGGCGCUCCCGGGAUAGGCCUGGGAGCACGCCUCUUUGAGUGUCGAUUCAAUCAAACUCAGCGACCUGCGCGAAUUCAUUUUUGUAGUGGGCGCAGCUGAAUAUUGAGUGUCUCACGUGAGUGAGUCACUUUAAGCGGAGCGAGUCUCCUUUCUUCUAGCACCGGUGAAAGCUUCGGCUUUUGCCUAGCCUAGGAUGAGUUUUUGCCACUGCUUAAACUCGUAGCCCUGCUAGUGAUGCGGAUAAUCACAUUCGUGUGUUCCAUCAUGACUAGUAGGAUUGCGGGGUUCGGUCGCAAACGGCUUUAGUGUCCGGCUCA